GUACACUCCUGCGGGAGGCAGCAGUGGGGAAUUUUGGACAAUGGGCGAAAGCCUGAUCCAGCAAUGCCGCGUGUGUGAAGAAGGCCUUCGGGUUGUAAAGCACUUUUGUCCGGAAAGAAAUCCUUGGCUCUAAUACAGUCGGGGGAUGACGGUACCGGAAGAAUAAGCACCGGCUAACUACGUGCCGGCAGCCGCGGUAAUACGUAGGGUGCGAGCGUUAAUCGGAAUUACUGGGCGUAAAGCGUGCGCAGGCGGUUUGCUAAGACCGAUGUGAAAUCCCCGGGCUCAACCUGGGAACUGCAUUGGUGACUGGCAGGCUAGAGUAUGGCAGAGGGGGGUAGAAUUCCACGUGUAGCAGUGAAAUGCGUAGAGAUGUGGAGGAAUACCGAUGGCGAAGGCAGCCCCCUGGGCCAAUACUGACGCUCAUGCACGAAAGCGUGGGGAGCAAACAGGAUUAGAAACCCUAGUAGUCCCAUGA
RNAcentral lists this ribosomal RNA (478 nucleotides) under uncultured organism. RNAcentral describes it as "partial 16S ribosomal RNA". It matches the Rfam family "Bacterial small subunit ribosomal RNA", at positions 331 to 800 of the family's 1533-position model. The record is from RNAcentral.